RNAcentral lists this ribosomal RNA (234 nucleotides) under Vibrio parahaemolyticus. RNAcentral describes it as "partial 16S ribosomal RNA". It matches the Rfam family "Bacterial small subunit ribosomal RNA", at positions 1 to 231 of the family's 1533-position model. Lineage: Bacteria; Pseudomonadati; Pseudomonadota; Gammaproteobacteria; Vibrionales; Vibrionaceae. The record is from RNAcentral. RNAcentral also lists the same sequence under 1 other name.
UAAUUGAAGAGUUUGAUCAUGGCUCAGAUUGAACGCUGGCGGCAGGCCUAACACAUGCAAGUCGAGCGGCAGCACAGAGAAACUUGUUUCUCGGGUGGCGAGCGGCGGACGGGUGAGUAAUGCCUGGGAAAUUGCCCUGAUGUGGGGGAUAACCAUUGGAAACGAUGGCUAAUACCGCAUGAUGCCUACGGGCCAAAGAGGGGGACCUUCGGGCCUCUCGCGUCAGGAUAUGCC